GAAAAGAACUUUGAAGAAAGAGUUCAAGAGAACGUGAAACUACCACGAGGUUAAAACGGAUGGACAUGCGUAGCGAAAAGGGGUCUCAUCUCCUCGAGCCUCGCGGCGCGGGUGCGAUCUAGACCGUCUUCGUCCGGCCUCCCUCGCGGAGGUUUCCGGCUCCGAAGAAGGCUAUCGUAUCGGCGGACGUCGGGGAAAGGGGGGUGGAUUUCCCUCCUUAGUACGCGGUCGCGGCCGCUCGGAGGUUGUCUGUGAUCGGGAGCUCGGGAACUGAGCCGCCUUCGGCCUCUCUCUUUUUAAGGGGGAGGUACGGAGCCGCGGAUCGGGGACUCUCCCGAAUUCUGACGGACUCUCGAACGGUUCGCCAUAGAAGGGGCCCUAGUAGUCGUAGUUUUACUACCUCCGCUAGCAGCAGCCCCUUACGCGGCCGAUAUUCGCGAUCGUCCAUCCGUCCCGUCYUGAAACACGGACCAAGGAGUCUAACAUGCGCGCGAGUCGAAGGGAUAAGUCUAAUCCCCGAGGCGCAACGAAAGCGAAAAAGGUCCCCCCUCUCGCCGCUUCGUGGCCUCCGCCCUAGCUGCCGCCGCUGUCCCCCGUUCUUCUUCGUCGUCCGUUCGCACUUUCCUCCCUUCGGGGAGGGGGGGGCGUCGGCGGCGGCGGGGUCGGGACGAUGGUGACGGUAGCAUUACGGGGCGGUGGUUCGGCGGUAGUAGCAAGGGGGUUCCGUUGGGCCGAUCCGAGCUCCUUCCUAUUAGAAAAUAUUUUUUUUUUAAUAAAGGGGGACCGGCGCAGGCCCGGGGCUCGUCGCUACCCUCUCGUUGCCCUUCGCGGGGCUUCGUGACGGGCGGCGGGCACCUCGAGCGUACAUGCUAGUACCCGAAAGAUGGUGAUCUAUGCCUGGCCAGGACGAAGCCAGAGGAAACUCUGGUGGAGGUCCGUAGCGAUUCUGACGUGCAAAUCGAUCGUCAGAGCUGGGUAUAGGGCGAAGACCA
Molecule: ribosomal RNA, 992 nt
Filed under: Stenasellus virei
Lineage: Eukaryota; Metazoa; Arthropoda; Malacostraca; Isopoda; Stenasellidae
Description: partial 28S ribosomal RNA
Rfam family: Eukaryotic large subunit ribosomal RNA
Source: RNAcentral